This 664-nucleotide ribosomal RNA is filed under the name Bassus sp. indet 3. RNAcentral describes it as "eukaryotic LSU rRNA". It matches the Rfam family "Eukaryotic large subunit ribosomal RNA", at positions 386 to 798 of the family's 3401-position model. Lineage: Eukaryota; Metazoa; Arthropoda; Insecta; Hymenoptera; Braconidae. The record is from RNAcentral.
CCUGAGAAACCUAAAAGUUCGAAAAGAGAGAUUCAACGUCAGUAUGUAUUGUAUUCACGUGAGUAGUGAUGUGAGUUUUUUAAUGAAAGGGUCAAACUUUUUAUUAAUACUUGCACAUUUUCAUGUUAUUUUAUUGCAAUACUAUUGCCGGCGUGCACUUCUCUCUUAGUAGGACGUCCCGACCCGUUGAGUCUUGGCCUACGGCGCAGAUGGGAGACUUUAAUAUUUCGGUAUUAAAGACCACUGAUGUACCCUGGCUAAAGUGCUCGACGGUAGUUAAUUGAUAUGGCGUUGAGCCGCAUUUUCGAAUGCGUCCAGCCAGUCGCAAGUAAUUGAUUUAUUCCGUAUUACUAUAGACUCUGUGCUAUGUAUAUGGUUAUUUCGCUUUGCAUGACUGUGCUUUAGGACUGGCUAUGUUCGUUUGUCAGGGACGCUUAGGCUUUGGGUACUCUCAGGACCCGUCUUGAAACACGGACCAAGGAGUCUAACAUGUACGCGAGUCAUUGGGUAUAUAUUUUCCUUCCAGGAAUUUAUAUAAAACAAACCUAAAGGCGUAAUGAAAGUAAAGGUUGAACCUAGUGUUUAACUUAGGGAUGAUGGGUUAUUAAUUUAUCCCCGCAAUCCCAGGGCAUCUUAAUCUCAUUGCGAGAUGAGGCGCACCUAG